GACAGAGGUGCCAAGCGUUAGGCGGAAUCACUGGGCUUAAAGCGUGUGUAGGCGGAUCGUUAAGUACCUUGUGAAAUCCCACGGCUCAACCGUGGAACUGCUCGGUAUACUGGCGGUCUUGAGCCACCUAGGGGCAACUGGAACAAGCGGUGGAGCGGUGAAAUGCGUAGAUAUCGCUUGGAACGCCAACCGUGAAAACAGGUUGCUGGGGGUGUGCUGACGCUGAGACACGAAAGCCAGGGGAGCGAACGGG
This 253-nucleotide ribosomal RNA is filed under the name uncultured bacterium. RNAcentral's name for it is "partial 16S ribosomal RNA". It matches the Rfam family "Bacterial small subunit ribosomal RNA", at positions 524 to 776 of the family's 1533-position model. The record is from RNAcentral.